This 274-nucleotide ribosomal RNA is filed under the name uncultured bacterium. RNAcentral's name for it is "partial 16S ribosomal RNA". It matches the Rfam family "Bacterial small subunit ribosomal RNA", at positions 523 to 796 of the family's 1533-position model. The record is from RNAcentral.
AUACGAAAGGUGCAAGCGUUGUUCGGAUUUACUGGGCGUAAAGAGAGUGUAGGUGGUUUAUUAAGUCGGAUGUGAAAUCCCGGGGCUCAACCUCGGAACUGCAUUCGAUACUGGUAGACUAGAGUUUGGGAGGGGUAAGCGGAAUUCCGUGUGUAGCAGUGAAAUGCGUAGAUAUACGGAGGAACACCUGAGGCGAAGGCGGCUUACUGGACCAAUACUGACACUGAGGAUCGAAAGCGUGGGUAGCGAACAGGAUUAGAAACCCCAGUAGUCC